This 427-nucleotide ribosomal RNA is filed under the name uncultured bacterium. RNAcentral describes it as "bacterial SSU rRNA". It matches the Rfam family "Bacterial small subunit ribosomal RNA", at positions 355 to 774 of the family's 1533-position model. The record is from RNAcentral.
UGGGGAAUUUUGGACAAUGGGGGCAACCCUGAUCCAGCCAUCCCGCGUGUGCGAUGGAGGCCUUCGGGUUGUAAAGCACUUUUGGCAGGGAAGAAACAGCCUGGGCUAAUAUCCCGGGCGACUGACGGUACCUGCAGAAUAAGCACCGGCUAACUACGUGCCAGUAGCCGCGGUAAUACGUAGGGUGCAAGCGUUAAUCGGAAUUACUGGGCGUAAAGCGUGCGCAGGCGGUUCGGAAAGAAAGGUGUGAAAUCCCAGGGCUUAACCUUGGAACUGCACUUUUAACUACCGGGCUAGAGUACGUCAGAGGGGGGUAGAAUUCCACGUGUAGCAGUGAAAUGCGUAGAGAUGUGGAGGAAUACCGAUGGCGAAGGCAGCCCCCUGGGAUGAUACUGACGCUCAUGCACGAAAGCGUGGGGAGCAAACA